Molecule: ribosomal RNA, 207 nt
Filed under: uncultured bacterium
Lineage: Bacteria
Description: partial 16S ribosomal RNA
Rfam family: Bacterial small subunit ribosomal RNA
Source: RNAcentral
CGCGUAGGCGGUUCGUACAGUCAGACGUGAAAUUCCCGGGCUCAACCUGGGGACUGCGUUUGAUACGUACGGGCUUGAGUUCGGAAGAGGGUCGUGGAAUUCCCAGUGUAGAGGUGAAAUUCGUAGAUAUUGGGAAGAACACCGGUGGCGAAGGCGGCGACCUGGUCCGAUACUGACGCUGAGGCGCGAAAGCGUGGGGAGUAAACA